RNAcentral lists this long non-coding RNA (387 nucleotides) under Salmo salar (Atlantic salmon). RNAcentral describes it as "lncRNA (ENSSSAG00000119781.1, ENSSSAG00020055955.1)". Lineage: Eukaryota; Metazoa; Chordata; Actinopteri; Salmoniformes; Salmonidae. The record is from RNAcentral.
GUGAAAUGAAGGUGCCAUUUUAGAAGAAAAUGAAAUCUGUGAGGAGAAAAACAUUCUGGAGGAAGAGGUACCGAUCCUCACAGAUGAAGAGAGGAACAAACUGGGGGCCAGGCUGGUGAAGGCAGAGAUGAUGGCUAACAUGUCUCUGAUGGAGAAACUGAAGACCCAUCUGGAAUUGGCCCGUAAAGCCGAGGAGAACCACGCUGCACAUGCUGCACAGCAACCUGGGAAAUCGGACAGGUGAGCAAACAAACACUUCAUCAGAUGAUGACAACUACACCCUGGAUGACAUGUUCGUUUCGUGGCUCAGAGAGAGGGGGAGGAGCGAGAUGAGGAGGGGAUGAGGAGCAGAGCCAUAGCGGACCACAGGUGACUGGCCGUUACCAU